This 86-nucleotide transfer RNA is filed under the name bacterium. Its description in RNAcentral is "tRNA-Leu". It matches the Rfam family "tRNA". From Rfam's summary of the family: Transfer RNA (tRNA) molecules are approximately 80 nucleotides in length. Their secondary structure includes four short double-helical elements and three loops (D, anti-codon, and T loops). Further hydrogen bonds mediate the characteristic L-shaped molecular structure. tRNAs have two regions of fundamental functional importance: the anti-codon, which is responsible for specific mRNA codon recognition, and the 3' end, to which the tRNAs corresponding amino acid is attached (by aminoacyl-tRNA synthetases). tRNAs cope with the degeneracy of the genetic code in two manners: having more than one tRNA (with a specific anti-codon) for a particular amino acid; and 'wobble' base-pairing, i.e. permitting non-standard base-pairing at the 3rd anti-codon position. RNAcentral also lists the same sequence under 2 other names. The record is from RNAcentral.
GCGAGGGUGGCGGAACUGGCAGACGCGCUAGACUUAGGAUCUAGUGGUUAACACCCGUGCGGGUUCAAAUCCCGCUCCUCGCACCA